UACGGAGGGCGCGAGCGUUAAUCGGAAUCACUGGGCGUAAAGCGUGCGCGGGCGGCGCGCCGAGUCGGGCGUGAAAGCCCCGGGCUCAACCUGGGAACUGCGCCCGAUACCGGCGGGCUCGAGCUUGGCAGAGGGGGGCGGAAUUCCGGGUGUAGCGGUGAAAUGCGUAGAGAUCCGGAGGAACACCAGUGGCGAAGGCGGCCCCCUGGGCCAGGGCUGACGCUGAGGCACGAAAGCGUGGGUAGCAAACAGGAUUAGAUACCCCCGUAGUCC
RNAcentral lists this ribosomal RNA (273 nucleotides) under uncultured bacterium. RNAcentral describes it as "partial 16S ribosomal RNA". It matches the Rfam family "Bacterial small subunit ribosomal RNA", at positions 524 to 796 of the family's 1533-position model. The record is from RNAcentral.